GGAGGAAAAGAACUAACAAGGAUUCCCCUAGUAACUGCGAGUGAAGCGGGAAAAGCUCAAAUUUAAAAUCUGACAGUCUCUGGCUGUCCGAGUUGUAAUCUAGAGAAGUGAUGCCCGCGCUGGACCGUGUACAAGUCUCCUGGAAUGGAGCGUCAUAGAGGGUGAGAAUCCCGUCUCUGACACGGACUACCAGGGCUUUGUGGUACGCUCUCAAAGAGUCGAGUUGUUUGGGAAUGCAGCUCAAAAUGGGUGGUAAAUUCCAUCUAAAGCUAAAUAUUGGCGAGAGACCGAUAGCGAACAAGUACCGUGAGGGAAAGAUGAAAAGAACUUUGGAAAGAGAGUUAAACAGURCGUGAAAUUGCUGAAAGGGAAACGCUUGAAGUCAGUCGCGUUGGCUGGGGAUCAGCCUCGCUCUUUUGCGUGGUGUACUUUCCGGUUGACGGGUCAGCAUCAAUUUUGACCGCUGGAAAAAGGCUUGAGGAAUGUGGCAGCUCCGGCUGUGUUAUAGCUUCAUGUCACAUACAGCGGUUGGGAUUGAGGAACUCAGCACGCCGCAAGGCCGGGUUUCGACCACGUUCGUGCUUAGGAUGCUGGCAUAAUGGCUUUA
RNAcentral lists this ribosomal RNA (607 nucleotides) under Mycocepurus smithi symbiont S6. RNAcentral's name for it is "eukaryotic LSU rRNA". It matches the Rfam family "Eukaryotic large subunit ribosomal RNA", at positions 52 to 642 of the family's 3401-position model. Lineage: Eukaryota; Fungi; Basidiomycota; Agaricomycetes; Agaricales; Agaricaceae. RNAcentral also lists the same sequence under 2 other names. The record is from RNAcentral.